Erinaceus europaeus (western European hedgehog) is the source of this 332-nucleotide unclassified non-coding RNA. Its record names the gene 7SK. It matches the Rfam family "7SK RNA". Rfam says of the family: 7SK was discovered as an abundant small nuclear RNA in the mid-70s but a possible function has only recently been suggested. Two independent studies have found that 7SK RNA binds the CDK9/cyclin T complex (known as elongation factor P-TEFb). The record is from Ensembl. Lineage: Eukaryota; Metazoa; Chordata; Mammalia; Eulipotyphla; Erinaceidae.
UGAUCUCCUGGCACAAUGUGGCUAUGAUAUGUGUCACAUUGAUCACCAGGGUUGAUUCUGCUGACCUGGUUGUGUAGGCAGCUAUUCCCUUCCUCCCUCACCGAUCCAUGUGAGACCCUCCUGAACUGUAUGCUUGGUCUGAGAGAACAAAGAGGGUGGCUUUCCCCAACGAGAGAUGAAACAGUCUUUGGUACAGAGUGAGACGUUCCUCUGCAAGAACCUCCAAACAUAUCCUGGUAACCAGUUCUCACUUAAAAUACAGCAGUGAAACAUCAUUUUGAUCCCCAAAGCAGGAAUGGACUCUACUAAAAAAGAAAAGUAUAGAACUGUAU